Molecule: ribosomal RNA, 1333 nt
Filed under: uncultured bacterium
Lineage: Bacteria
Description: bacterial SSU rRNA
Rfam family: Bacterial small subunit ribosomal RNA
Source: RNAcentral
GAUGAACGCUGGCGGCGUGCCUAAUACAUGCAAGUCGAGCGAACAGACGAGGAGCUUGCUCCUCUGACGUUAGCGGCGGACGGGUGAGUAACACGUGGAUAACCUACCUAUAAGACUGGGAUAACUUCGGGAAACCGGAGCUAAUACCGGAUAAUAUAUUGAACCGCAUGGUUCAAUAGUGAAAGACGGUUUUGCUGUCACUUAUAGAUGGAUCCGCGCCGCAUUAGCUAGUUGGUAAGGUAACGGCUUACCAAGGCAACGAUGCGUAGCCGACCUGAGAGGGUGAUCGGCCACACUGGAACUGAGACACGGUCCAGACUCCUACGGGAGGCAGCAGUAGGGAAUCUUCCGCAAUGGGCGAAAGCCUGACGGAGCAACGCCGCGUGAGUGAUGAAGGUCUUCGGAUCGUAAAACUCUGUUAUUAGGGAAGAACAAAUGUGUAAGUAACUAUGCACGUCUUGACGGUACCUAAUCAGAAAGCCACGGCUAACUACGUGCCAGCAGCCGCGGUAAUACGUAGGUGGCAAGCGUUAUCCGGAAUUAUUGGGCGUAAAGCGCGCGUAGGCGGUUUUUUAAGUCUGAUGUGAAAGCCCACGGCUCAACCGUGGAGGGUCAUUGGAAACUGGAAAACUUGAGUGCAGAAGAGGAAAGUGGAAUUCCAUGUGUAGCGGUGAAAUGCGCAGAGAUAUGGAGGAACACCAGUGGCGAAGGCGACUUUCUGGUCUGUAACUGACGCUGAUGUGCGAAAGCGUGGGGAUCAAACAGGAUUAGAUACCCUGGUAGUCCACGCCGUAAACGAUGAGUGCUAAGUGUUAGGGGGUUUCCGCCCCUUAGUGCUGCAGCUAACGCAUUAAGCACUCCGCCUGGGGAGUACGACCGCAAGGUUGAAACUCAAAGGAAUUGACGGGGACCCGCACAAGCGGUGGAGCAUGUGGUUUAAUUCGAAGCAACGCGAAGAACCUUACCAAAUCUUGACAUCCUCUGACCCCUCUAGAGAUAGAGUUUUCCCCUUCGGGGGGCAGAGUGACAGGUGGUGCAUGGUUGUCGUCAGCUCGUGUCGUGAGAUGUUGGGUUAAGUCCCGCAACGAGCGCAACCCUUUAGCUUAAUUGCCCUCCUUAAGUUGGGCACUCCUAGUUGACUGCCGGUGACAAAACCGAAGAAGGUGGGGAAGACGUCCAAUCCUCCUGCCCCCUAUGAAUUGGGGCUCCCCACCUGCUACAAUGGGACAUACCAAAGGCCACGAAACCGCGAGGGCAAGCCAAUCCCUUAAAGUGGUUCCCGUUCGGAAUGGAGUCUGGAACCCCACCUUUUGAAACUGAAACGCUAGAAACC